This is a long non-coding RNA of Eucalyptus grandis, 2288 nucleotides long. RefSeq lists it as uncharacterized. NCBI's taxonomy places the organism in Eukaryota, Viridiplantae, Streptophyta, Magnoliopsida, Myrtales, Myrtaceae. The record is from RefSeq and is a predicted model, not a curated record. The transcript has 3 exons.
GAAGUAAAUAUGUCAUAAUUUGUAAAGUUUGGAUUUUUUUUUUUGUCACAAAAAAGUUUUGAAACCAUCGCCCUCAACGGCGCAGCUGACUUGGGCUCUCUUCCCCUCACGAAGGGGAGAAGUUCGAAUCAUGUGGUGAUGAGUCUUGCAGUCGUUCCCCCAAAAUUUGCUCACCGACUGUCAGUUUACAGAUUCCUUGGGUUAUAAAAAAAAAAGAUUUUGAAUAAAUUUGUCAUUUUGAACAAAAUUUUGGAUUUUUUAUGAUCUUUUCCCUACUAAAGAGAUUAAAAGAUGGUCUUCUCUCUCAAAUGUGGAGGCGUGCGGCGUGAUUUCUUGGAAGAGCCUCGCCGCUUUUCUGCAACUUAUAAUAUAGUUUAGCUUCUUGGCGGGGUUUGUCCUGAUCUUUUUCUCUCUCUCCGGUUUCACAUUUGGACGGAGCUUUCUUGGGAUUUUCUGGUCGGGUUCAGCAUGCCAUACACCGACGUAGUUCCACCGACGUAGUUCCAACCUCCAGUUUUCGUCGGCCGGUCCAUGUGGGUUCUGCCCGAUUAUUACAGGCGAUAAAUAUCUCGGCAUUCGUCCCUACCUUUUUGGCCUAUCCGAUCUUGUCCCAAAAUAGAAUCCUCCCGACGAUGGAAAUGCAACUAAUUUUCAACAUUUUUGGGCCCAUUUAUUCUUCUGGUUAUAUUUAUAUAAUUUUUAGGAGUGAUGGCUUUCAAAGUAGUAAAAUUCAGAGUUAAAACCUGAAACCUACCCUAUUAUAACUAAUUCUUAAUUUUUAGACCCUGAAGCCGAUUCUUGAACAUAUUCUUUUUUUCUGGUCUGAUUUCAAAAUAUACUAAAAAAACCCGUUUUAUCUUUUUGUACCUUUUUUUUGGUCAUUUUUUACAGCAAAAUUAUAUGAGACUACGAGUACCAAAAUGAUUCAAAGGAAAAGGUGGACAACAGAAUACGCCAAAAACAGCAAUCCAUAAGAUUCCUAGACCUAUACUAUUAUAAAGGAUAAAAGUUUAAACACAUAACAUAAAACAUAAAUUAUAGAAUUUCAUCCCCUAUUAAUCUAUAAAAAUUUAGCGGAAGAUAAAAGACUAGCAAAGAGUUUCGAGGAAGAACAAAGAACAAAGGAGUACUAAGGUCAAAUUUAGGGGAAAAAUAAAUUAGGAUUUUGACUUUUUAACUCAUAAAACCAAUUUCAAAAUAAGGUGGUCCAAUCCAAUUUCUCGGUGAGUGUUUACUCAAAAGCUAUUCCUGGACUAAGUUUAAUAAGAACAUAUUCCUAGACCUAUUUUUCAAGAGUUCCGGUUUUGUUUCCGGAUUGAACCAAUUUGCAUUCACACUCCUAACAAUUUUAUGACUAAAUUGAAUAUGUACUUAAAAUUUGGAAACCAUAUUACAUUAAAAAUUCAAAAAUGACAUUACAAACCUGUACAAAAUUCAUAGACCAGUUUAUGUUAUUUACCUUCAAACACUUGCCAGCAACCAGAGAGAGAGAGAGGUUUCGUAAAUUUGCUGUCAGUUCCACCAAACGAUUCUCUUCCCCAUUUAUACUUAUGUCACCAGUGAAAAAGAAAGAGAUCAAAAGAUAGUCUUCUCUCUCUCUCUCUCUCUACUGAGGAGUGAUUUCUUGGAAGAGCCUCGCCGGAAAGGGGAUCCACCGACAUUAGUUCCAACCUCCAGUUUCCCUCGGACAGCCCUUAUUCGAGAGAUUCGAUAGAGACAGAAGCGGAAAAAUCGACUCGACAGAACUGAGGGAUGCUCUGUACAGUCUAAGCUACGUGAUUCCGCCAUCUGUUCUUCAAGUUCUGAUGUCUUGAUAUGACGGCAGCAGCGGCAGGACAUGCGAACUUAAUUUUGAUGCUUUUGUCGAAUGUGGAAUGAUUGUGAAGGUACAAUGUCAAUUCAACUAUAUGAACUGUCAUGAGUAUAGUAUGAUAUAGUCAGGGUUCGUCUACACAGAUGCUUCAAUGGCUAAUUGAGUGACCUUCUCGUUACUUAACAUCACAUUUCAGGGCCUGACAGAGAAAUUCAAAGAGAAAAAUCUGCAAUACACGGGAUCAGCAACACUCGGAUAUGAUGAGUUCAUUGUAUGAUCCUUCCUUUUCUUGUAUCAUAUGAUUGACGGCUAAGUAUUAUACUUUGUUUGGCGUGUAAAUACUGGACACUAAGGUGCGAUGGCGGCUCGUCGCUCUAUAACUGUAGAUUCUUGGGAGUCCUCUUGUCAGCUAUUAUAAGUAGGAACAUUUGUAUGCUUUUAUGCUUGCUGUAUUCUGAGAGGUGGUGUUUUUAUC